This 421-nucleotide ribosomal RNA is filed under the name uncultured bacterium. Its description in RNAcentral is "partial 16S ribosomal RNA". It matches the Rfam family "Bacterial small subunit ribosomal RNA", at positions 361 to 774 of the family's 1533-position model. The record is from RNAcentral.
AUUUUGGACAAUGGGGGCAACCCUGAUCCAGCCAUCCCGCGUGUGCGAUGAAGGCCUUCGGGUUGUAAAGCACUUUUGGCAGGGAAGAAAAGGCUCUGGCUAAUACCUGGAGCUGCUGACGGUACCUGCAGAAUAAGCACCGGCUAACUACGUGCCAGCAGCCGCGGUAAUACGUAGGGUGCAAGCGUUAAUCGGAAUUACUGGGCGUAAAGCGUUCGCAGGCGGUUUCGACAAGAAGAUGUUGAAUCCCAGGGCUUAAACUUUGAACUGCAUUCUUAAAUGGCGGGGUAGAGGAUGGCAGAAGGGGGUAGGAUUCCGCGUGGAGGCGUGAAAUGCGUAGAGAAGCGGAGGAAAACCGAUGGCGGAGGCAGCCCCCUGGGAUAAUACUGACGCUUAUGCACGAAAACGUGGGGAGCAAACA